Papaver somniferum (opium poppy) is the source of this 3132-nucleotide RNA transcript. It is a transcript of the gene named pyruvate kinase 1, cytosolic-like, with no coding region annotated. The transcript has 5 exons. NCBI's taxonomy places the organism in Eukaryota, Viridiplantae, Streptophyta, Magnoliopsida, Ranunculales, Papaveraceae. The record is from RefSeq and is a predicted model, not a curated record.
GAUCGGGUCUAUAAUUAGGAGCAAUCCUCACCGAAAUCCAAAGAUUUCAAGGACAACGUAUCAGUGACUGUGAAUAAUGAAGACACUAAAGUUGAAAUCGUAUUACCGGUAUCUAUAAUCAAACCUUAUGGACGGACAACGUAUCAGUCAACUAAAGUUGAUGGAUUGAGUGAAAUCGUUCAAGGCUGGUUGAUACUGAAUCGUAUGUUAAAUACGUUUUAGCCCUACAAAUGGUUAACUCAACCACAGCUGAUAGGGUGGAUGAAAAUAAUAGCAGAGAUGGAAGGGAAUCCUCCAGUGAGGUAUUUGACUAGAGAUGAUUCUGGUGUUGAUGAAAUCAUGGAAUACUAGAGUACCAAUGAAGGUUUCCUUCUUAGUUUGGACUCUUUGCUAUGGAGGUGCUCCAACUCUAGAUUUUCUACACAGAACUGGUAGAACUAAUAACAGCAUCUGCCUUUUCUGCAAUGUGGCUCAGGAAACAAAUAACCAUCUCUUUAUGCAGUGCACUGAAACUUUAAAGCUGUGGAAUUAUUUCAUUAACAACUUUGGCAUUGGCUGGGUCUUCUCUGAAUCUGUUAAAGCAACUUUGUGGGAAUGGCCUGCUAAGAGGGGAUCUGCUAUGCACAAGAAGUUAUGGGGUAUAUUGCCUUUUGCAAUCUGGUGGAACAUUUGGACAGAGCGCAAUAACAGGCUAUAUGGGAACAAAAGAAGGGGAGUUAACCAGUUAAUUGUUGCAGUCAAAUGCACUAUCUACAACUGGUGUAGAUCAACUACAAUUUUUGAGAACAUUCCUUUUAAGUACCAUCAUAUGUAAUUGGGAUGCUAGUCUAGCUUGAGCAUUUUGCUCUGUUUUGUUUUUUCUUUUUUUGUUCUCUGUCAUGCCUUUAUGACAUAUUACAUUCUUAAUGAAAUUUGCCUUUGUCAAAAAAAAAAAAUCAUGGUUUGCCGAUUCUUUUGACGAGGUAAGUGAUCAUGAGUUCUCUUUUUCUAUUUGAAUUGAUAGUUAGUUAUGUUCCAGGUUGUGUUAUAUGAAAUUUGGGGGAAGAUUGCGGCAAAAAAAAUUAGGGGUUUUCUAAAUUUUGGAUAUGUAGACCUAUAUUUUAUUUGGUUUUGAUUAAUUUUAGAACCGGGUUGUAGUUGUUGGAUGUUUUUUUUAGAAAGUAAAAUUGAUUUAUUUGAUAGGGAUUAAAUUUAUGUUUGUAUUGAACUGAAGUUGCUUUGCUCAAGUAGAUUCAGUUUGAGUUUUCCAUGGGGUGAUAUUGAGUAUCAUCAGGAGACUUUGGAGGAUUUUAAGACGGCUGUUAAGAGAACUAAGAAGCUAUGUGCUGUUAUGCUAGAUACAGUAGGCCCUGAAUUGCAAGUUGUUAAUAAAAGUGAAAGAUGGAUUGCACUAAAGGCUGAAUCAUCAGUUGUUUUGACUCAGGAUCAAGAUAAAGAAGCAACUUCAGAUCUAUUGCCAGGCAAUUAUGAUGGAAUAGCAAAGGCAGUAAAGGAAGGAGACUGUACUAGCUGUGUUCGGAACCUUGUGACAAGUUAUGGAACCUGGGGAGAAAGGCAGCUCACACCAAGAUGAAACUUCUCUCGCAGUGAGUAACUUUCAUGUUUCUUCUCUAGUCUUAUAUAUUAAAUGAAUAGUUCCGUAUUUUGUUUACAUAAAACUGAUUCCCAGGCGAACACAUUAUGAAGUUAGUGUGACACUAGUGACCUGUUGGAUUUUACUGUAAUUUUUGACACCGGUACACCUCAUUCACACACUUAAACGAUCCAGCAUACUGGGCUAUAUGUGAAAGUGUAAGUAGUCCAACUAGCGAAAUGAUAGUAGCUGGUAUGAUGCAAUUGAAGAGAACCAUUUAGCUUCAUUUCGAGGGGUCCAUGGAUUAGCAAAGCUGGUGAUGAUGCAGUUGAACAACUGCACAAACGCUUCAUUCUGUUAAUCUCACGUGCUUAGUUUCAUGUGUUGACUGUCUAGGACCUUAUUGUUCAUCUUCCCAGCAGCUUAUAUAAAUUGGAAAGUUGUAUGCUCUCAACUGACUCAGAUGAUUAGUGAUGCACUUUUGCAUGGAAAAAGGUGCCACACAACAUCUUAGUUUGGAUAUUAUGUAUUCAGUUAUUUAGCACUUCAAUACUUCUGAUUCUCUAGAUUUGAAGGGGAAAUUCCAUGGUGACAUCAUUUGUAUUCAGAAAUUGAAAACGACAUCAUUCCAUGGUGACAUCAUUUUAGUUUGGAUAUUAUGGGGAUAGAUUUUGCAAGCAAGGGCGGUCAAUCCCUUGUUGGCAUGUCAAGUAGUCCCCAAAAAUUGAAAACGACUGGUCGAACUCCGUUGGUGGCCGGCUCGGAUCAACAGCUCGAUGGAUCAAGCCUAGGCGGCUGCUCCGGACUGGACAGCUCCGGCAGGGCGGGAUGUAUUUGGCAGGGGUGUCAUCGGGGAAGUGGAUUAAUGCGGAGGAUAAAGUGACGGAAAGCCGAACUAUCGGCAUCGGGAAGGAUCGAGCGAAGAGUGUUCCCCUUGGCAACAAGGGCGCUUAGGCGGUCUGGCCACGCCGGCGGGACAUCUAAUGUCUGCAGCACUCACGGUCUAAACAGUGCGAUUAGCUCCCGCCCAAAACCGCCCAACCCGAAUAAAGGAAACAAAGGGUCAUUUCCAUUAUUUGUAUUCAGACUGCACUAAUGAGAUUGUUUCUACGGUUUAACAUUGAGUGAACUUUUUAUUGAUGUUAACUGCAGGCUCAGAGUAUAGGUUUAGACCAUAUGGAUGUGGAGGGUUUGAAGAGGCUUAACAAGAACAAGAAAUUGGUUGAGAAGCUUGCUAAGAAAUACCAUGCUUUUCUUGAAUCUGAAGCUGUUAUGUACAGGAAAAUUUCCAACUCUUGUUACCCAUCAGGAGUCUCUGGAGUCGAAGGUUAAUGAAACCAAGGCCAUGGUCAAGUUUCAAUUAAAGAAGGUACUCUGCAUGGGUGUUGCAGUAGGGAACCUUGGAAUGGAGGAGAAACAAAUCUUCCAGAAUGUGCAACUGAGUGUUAACUUCCUCGUUUCCACCAUACUUAAAAGUUCUAGUACCCAAUUAAUAAUAUGCGACAGUGUUAACAAGGUAUCCAAUUAAUAAUAUGCGACCUCUUUAAAGAGGUACCCAA